CGUGCCCCCAUGCAUGGUUAUCCAUUCAAUUAAUUGAGGGAUGCAGCCUACACCUCUCUAAUUAUAUUUUUCUUUCUCUCUUUCGUGUGGAGUGGAGAGCCGAAGCGGAGGAGCUCGGUGGAGGUAGCCGCGAGCACGAGUUCGACGCCGACGACGCGUCGCGAAGCCAUUCGAGGGUACGGUUGGGAUCGUAGCGCUGCGAGGAAGCUAGGCGAGGGUACGUUUUCGCCGUUCUCGACGCCGCGUCGAUGUCCGAUUAGCCUUUGAGCGUCGACCGUCGGUAUUUCAGUUCGUACUCGGCGUAGGAGCGUCGGUUUUCGACGGGACUUGGUUUGUUGGAUUCGGGACUUCGAGAGGAAUCCAUGAAGCCCUUACGUGCUGGAUUUGGUAAAGAGUUUGGCGGGAGCUUGACUUCGGGCCUUGGGAGGUUUUUGGACGUUUCGGCAGGUUGUUCCGCAGCCGAGGGGAGUUCCGUGCUGCCAGGGAUUAGCGAGCGAGGUGGGUUACAUCGGUUUAUUCCUAAGUAUAGCAUUA
Ananas comosus (pineapple) is the source of this 534-nucleotide long non-coding RNA. RefSeq lists it as uncharacterized. NCBI's taxonomy places the organism in Eukaryota, Viridiplantae, Streptophyta, Magnoliopsida, Poales, Bromeliaceae. The transcript has 3 exons. The record is from RefSeq and is a predicted model, not a curated record.